This 691-nucleotide ribosomal RNA is filed under the name uncultured bacterium. Its description in RNAcentral is "bacterial SSU rRNA". It matches the Rfam family "Bacterial small subunit ribosomal RNA", at positions 104 to 810 of the family's 1533-position model. The record is from RNAcentral.
GGGUGAGUAACACGUGAGCAACCUGCCUUUCAGAGGGGGAUAACGUUUGGAAACGAACGCUAAUACCGCAUAACAUAUACGAACGGCAUCGUUCAUAUAUCAAAGGAGCAAUCCGCUGAGAGAUGGGCUCGCGUCCGAUUAGCUAGAUGGUGAGGUAACGGCCCACCAUGGCGACGAUCGGUAGCCGGACUGAGAGGUUGACCGGCCACAUUGGGACUGAGACACGGCCCAGACUCCUACGGGAGGCAGCAGUGAGGGAUAUUGGGCAAUGGGGGAAACCCUGACCCAGCGACGCCGCGUGAGGGAAGACGGUCUUCGGAUUGUAAACCUCUGUCUUUGGGGACGAAAAAGGACGGUACCCAAGGAGGAAGCUCCGGCUAACUACGUGCCAGCAGCCGCGGUAAUACGUAGGGAGCGAGCGUUGUCCGGAAUUACUGGGUGUAAAGGGAGCGUAGGCGGGAUUGCAAGUUGGAUGUGAAAACUGCGGGCUCAACCCGGAGAGUGCAUUCAAAACUGCGAUUCUUGAGUGAAGUAGAGGCAAGCGGAAUUCCUAGUGUAGCGGUGAAAUGCGUAGAUAUUAGGAGGAACACCAGUGGCGAAGGCGGCUUGCUGGGCUUUUACUGACGCUGAGGCUCGAAAGUGUGGGGAGCAAACAGGAUUAGAUACCCUGGUAGUCCACACCGUAAACGAU